GGCUUUGCGCAGUGGCUGUAUCGUAACCAAUGAGGUUUAUCCGAGGCGCGAUUAUUGCUAAUUAUAUAGAGCCUUGGUGGCGCAGCAGACUAAAGCACUGUUAAGUAACACCAGCUGUCUGCAAUUACUGCAAGUUCAAAUCUCACCAGGCUCAAGGUUGACUCAGUGUUCCAUCCUUUUGAG
Small nuclear RNA from Pantherophis guttatus, 183 nucleotides. RefSeq annotates it as U4 spliceosomal RNA. Lineage: Eukaryota; Metazoa; Chordata; Lepidosauria; Squamata; Colubridae. The record is from RefSeq and is a predicted model, not a curated record.